Molecule: ribosomal RNA, 252 nt
Filed under: uncultured bacterium
Lineage: Bacteria
Description: partial 16S ribosomal RNA
Rfam family: Bacterial small subunit ribosomal RNA
Source: RNAcentral
UACGUAGGUCCCGAGCGUUGUCCGGAUUUAUUGGGCGUAAAGCGAGCGCAGGUGGUUUAUUAAGUCUGGUGUAAAGGGCAGUGGCUCAACCAUUGUAUGCAUUGGAAACUGGUAGACUUGAGUGCAGGAGAGGAGAGUGGAAUCCCAUGUGUAGCGGUGAAAUGCGUAGAUAUAUGGAGGAACACCGGUGGCGAAAGCGGCUCUCUGGCCUGUAACUGACACUGAGGCUCGAAAGCGUGGGGAGCAAACAGG